RNAcentral lists this ribosomal RNA (253 nucleotides) under uncultured bacterium. Its description in RNAcentral is "partial 16S ribosomal RNA". It matches the Rfam family "Bacterial small subunit ribosomal RNA", at positions 524 to 776 of the family's 1533-position model. The record is from RNAcentral.
UACGAAGGGGGCUAGCGUUGCUCGGAAUCACUGGGCGUAAAGGGCGCGUAGGCGGCCGAUCAAGUCAGAGGUGAAAGCCCAAGGCUCAACCUUGGAACUGCCUUUGAUACUGUUUGGCUAGAGACCGGAAGAGGUAAGUGGAACUGCGAGUGUAGAGGUGAAAUUCGUAGAUAUUCGCAAGAACACCAGUGGCGAAGGCGGCUUACUGGUCCGGUUCUGACGCUGAGGCGCGAAAGCGUGGGGAGCAAACAGG